RNAcentral lists this ribosomal RNA (497 nucleotides) under uncultured bacterium. RNAcentral describes it as "partial 16S ribosomal RNA". It matches the Rfam family "Bacterial small subunit ribosomal RNA", at positions 28 to 507 of the family's 1533-position model. The record is from RNAcentral.
GAUGAACGCUGGCGGCGUGCCUAAUACAUGCAAGUCGAGCGAACAGACGAGGAGCUUUCUCCCCUGACGUUAGCGGCGGACGGGCGAGUAACACGUGGAUAACCUACCUAUAAGACUGGGAUAACUUCGGGAAACCGCAGCUAAUACCGGAUCAUACAUUGAACCGCAUGGUUCAAUAGUUCAUGACGGUUUUGCUGUCACUUUUAGAUGGAUCCGCGCCGCAUUAGCUAGUUGGUAAGGUAACGGCUUACCAAGGCUACGAUGCGUAGCCGACCUGAGAGGGUGAUCGGCCACACUGGAACUGAGACACGGUCCAGACUCCUACGGGAGGCAGCAGUAGGGAAUAUUGCACAAUGGGCGAAAGCCUGACGGAGCAACGCCGCGUGAGUGAUGAAGGUCUUCGGAUCGUAAAGCCCUGUUGUUGGGAAAGAAAAAAAGUGGAAGAAAAUCUGCACGUCUUGACGGUACCUAAACAGAAAGCAACGGCUAACUACGUG